This 213-nucleotide ribosomal RNA is filed under the name uncultured bacterium. RNAcentral describes it as "partial 16S ribosomal RNA". It matches the Rfam family "Bacterial small subunit ribosomal RNA", at positions 1292 to 1500 of the family's 1533-position model. The record is from RNAcentral.
UUCGGACUGCAGUCUGCAACUCGACUGCACGAAGCUGGAAUCGCUAGUAAUCGCGGAUCAGCACGCCGCGGUGAAUACGUUCCCGGGCCUUGUACACACCGCCCGUCACACCAUGGAAGUCUGCAAUGCCCGAAGCCGGUGGCCUAACCACUUAUGUGGAAGGAGCCGUCUAAGGCAGGGCAGAUGACUGGGGUGAAGUCGUAACAAGGUAGC